AGAGUUUGAUCCUGGCUCAGGAUGAACGCUAGCUACAGGCUUAACACAUGCAAGUCGAGGGGAAACGAUAUUGGAAAGCUUGCUUCCGAUAGGCGUCGACCGGCGCACGGGUGAGUAACGCGUAUCCAACCUGCCCACCACUUGGGGAUAACCUUGCGAAAGUAAGACUAAUACCCAAUGAUAUCUCUAGAAGACAUCUGAAAGAGAUUAAAGAUUUAUCGGUGAUGGAUGGGGAUGCGUCUGAUUAGCUUGUUGGCGGGGUAACGGCCCACCAAGGCGACGAUCAGUAGGGGUUCUGAGAGGAAGGUCCCCCACAUUGGAACUGAGACACGGUCCAAACUCCUACGGGGCAGCA
RNAcentral lists this ribosomal RNA (355 nucleotides) under uncultured bacterium. Its description in RNAcentral is "bacterial SSU rRNA". It matches the Rfam family "Bacterial small subunit ribosomal RNA", at positions 8 to 353 of the family's 1533-position model. The record is from RNAcentral.